This 305-nucleotide ribosomal RNA is filed under the name uncultured bacterium. Its description in RNAcentral is "partial 16S ribosomal RNA". It matches the Rfam family "Bacterial small subunit ribosomal RNA", at positions 333 to 652 of the family's 1533-position model. The record is from RNAcentral.
UGAAGCCUACGGGGGGCAGCAGUGGGGAAUAUUGGACAAUGGGGGGAACCCUGAUCCAGCGACGCCGCGUGAGUGAAGAAGUAUUUCGGUAUGUAAAGCUCUAUCAGCAGGGAAGAAAGAAAUGACGGUACCUGACUAAGAAGCCCCGGCUAACUACGUGCCAGCAGCCGCGGUAAUACGUAGGGGGCAAGCGUUAUCCGGAUUUACUGGGUGUAAAGGGAGCGUAGACGGCAAUGCAAGUCUGGAGUGAAAGGCGGGGGCCCAACCCCCGGAAUGCUCUGGAAACUGGAUAGCUGGAGUGAAGG